Molecule: ribosomal RNA, 534 nt
Filed under: Triticum aestivum (bread wheat)
Lineage: Eukaryota; Viridiplantae; Streptophyta; Magnoliopsida; Poales; Poaceae
Description: partial small subunit ribosomal RNA
Source: RNAcentral
AAGCUCUCAGCCUCCGCCGGCCAGCCUGCCACCGACGCUGCUCUUUAUCGCAGUAUUGUGGGCGCCCUUCAGUACCUCACGCUCACCAGACCAGACAUUCAGUUCGCAGUCCAGCAAGUUUGCCUGCAUAUGCACUCGCCUCGUGAUGUCCACUGGUCUUUGGUCAAGCGCAUUCUUCGGUAUAUUCGUGGCACUCCGACCUACGGUCUUCGUCUCCGUGCAUCCGCCUCGACUGAGCUCCUCGCUUAUACUGACGCGGAUUGGGCUGGCUGUCCAGACACUCGUCGCUCCACGUCUGGAUAUUGUGUCUUCUUCGGUGACUCCUUGGUCUCUUGGUCCUCUAAACGGCAGCCCACUGUUUCCCGUUCGAGUGCUGAGGCUGAGUACCGUGCUGUCGCCAAUGUUGUUGCAGAGACUUGUUGGCUUCGUCAUCUUCUUGGUGAGCUUCGGAUUUCUCUUCCGAAGGCUACUGUGGUCUUCUGUGAUAACGUAUCGGCCACCUAUCUCGCGGCUAAUCCGGCACAAGCGCACUAA